This 269-nucleotide ribosomal RNA is filed under the name uncultured bacterium. RNAcentral's name for it is "partial 16S ribosomal RNA". It matches the Rfam family "Bacterial small subunit ribosomal RNA", at positions 57 to 305 of the family's 1533-position model. The record is from RNAcentral.
GCAAGUCGAACGGUAACAGGCUGUAUGGGAUCCCUUCGGGGUGAACUGGCGCUGACGAGUGGCGAACGGGUGAGUAACACGUAGGAAUCUACCCAGAAGUGGGGGACAACCCGGACAAAUCCGGGCUAAUACCGCAUACGCCCCAAGGGGUAAAGCGGGGGACCUUUUCGAAGGCCUCGCGCUAUUGGAUGAGCCUGCGUCGGAUUAGCUUGUUGGUGAGGUAAUGGCCCACCAAGGCAACGAUCCGUAGCUGGUCUGAGAGGAUGACC